AGAGUUUGAUCAUGGCUCAGGAUGAACGCUAGCGGCAGGCCUAAUACAUGCAAGUCGAGCGGCAAGUCGAGGAGUAAUCUGAGACCUAGAGCGGCGUACGGGUGCGUAACGCGUAUGCAACCUACCUCAUACAGGGGGAUAGCCCGGAGAAAUCUGGAUUAAUACCCCAUGGCACAGCACAAGGGCAUCUGCGAGCUGUUAAAGAUUCAUCGGUAUGAGAUGGGCAUGCGUCUGAUUAGCUAGUUGGCGGUGUAACGGACCACCAAGGCGACGAUCAGUAGGGGUUCUGAGAGGAAGGUCCCCCACACUGGCACUGAGAUACGGGCCAGACUCCUACGGGAGGCAGCAGUAGGGAAUAUUGGGCAAUGGACGAGAGUCUGACCCAGCCAUGCCGCGUGCAGGAAGACGGCGUUCUGCGUUGUAAACUGCUUUUAUCUGGGAAGAAAAGGCCCGUGCGCGGGACAUUGCCGGUACCAGAUGAAUAAGCACCGGCUAACUCCGUGCCAGCAGCCGCGGUAAUACGGAGGGUGCAAGCGUUGUCCGGAUUUAUUGGGUUUAAAGGGUGCGUAGGCGGCUGUUUAAGUCAGUGGUGAAAGACAUCGGCUCAACCGAUGCAGUGCCAUUGAUACUGGGCAGCUUGAGUGUUGGAGGGGUACAUGGAAUUGAUGGUGUAGCGGUGAAAUGCAUAGAUACCAUCAGGAACACCGAUAGCGAAGGCAUUGUACUGGCCAACAACUGACGCUGAGGCACGAAAGCAUGGGGAGCGAGCAGGAUUAGAUACCCUGGUAGUCCAUGCCGUAAACGAUGAUUACUCGCUGUUAUGCCGUAGGGUGUAGCGGCCAAGCGAAAGCGUUAAGUAAUCCACCUGGGGAGUACGCCGGCAACGGUGAAACUCAAAUGAAUUGACGG
Molecule: ribosomal RNA, 909 nt
Filed under: uncultured bacterium
Lineage: Bacteria
Description: bacterial SSU rRNA
Rfam family: Bacterial small subunit ribosomal RNA
Source: RNAcentral